Long non-coding RNA from Beta vulgaris subsp. vulgaris (sugar beet), 211 nucleotides. RefSeq lists it as uncharacterized. Lineage: Eukaryota; Viridiplantae; Streptophyta; Magnoliopsida; Caryophyllales; Amaranthaceae. The record is from RefSeq and is a predicted model, not a curated record. The transcript has 3 exons.
CUCAAUUUAAAGAUCUUUUGGAAUACUGGAAUUGUUCACUAAUCGAGAAAGAAGCAAAAAUUAAUAAAGGCAAUCGUGGAUCACUAGAUGAUAUGCAUACUAUGGGUCCGAAGUCAUACGCAAUGUUACGUCAUAAGUUGCAACAAGAGGAUCCGGAUAAGCAAGAGCCUUCACAAGAAAAGGUCUACAAAGAAUCGAGGAAAAGAAAUCC